Molecule: unclassified non-coding RNA, 396 nt
Filed under: soil metagenome
Description: partial contains 5.8S ribosomal RNA, internal transcribed spacer 2, and large subunit ribosomal RNA
Rfam family: 5.8S ribosomal RNA (bases 1-120)
Source: RNAcentral
GAUGAAGAACGCAGCCAAAUGCGAUAAGUAAUGUGAAUUGCAGAAUUCCGUGAAUCAUCGAAUCUUUGAACGCACAUUGCGCCUUCUGGUAAUCCAGGAGGCAUGUCUGUCUGAGCGUCAGUACACUUCUUAAGUCAUAAUUUUUUUUAAGACUUAGUCCUGGGGGCGUUUAUACUUUAUGUAUCUUUCUCCCCUUUAAUGUAUUGAUAUAUUAUUGCCCGUGUUUAUUUGGCCUUAGUUGUAGCAAUUUCUACUCAACUUUAAGUGCCGGUUAUACGGUUGCAUGUCAAUUUUUAAUAAUUAAAAUAAACAUUCGUUUUGCUUUAAUUUUUUAACUCUUGACCUCAGGUCAGAUAGGGAUACCCGCUGAACUUAAGCAUAUCAAUAAGCGGAGGA